ACACCGGCAGCUCAAGUGGUAGCCGCUUUUAUUGGGCCUAAAGCGUCCGUAGCCGGUCUGAUAAGUCUCUGGUGAAAUCCCACAGCUUAACUGUGGGAAUUGCUGGAGAUACUAUCAUGACUCGAGGUCGGGAGAGGCUGGAGGUACUCCCAGGGUAGGGGUGAAAUCCUGUAAUCCUGGGAGGACCACCUGUGGCGAAGGCGUCCAGCUUGAACGAACCUGACGGUGGGGGACGAAAGCCAGUGGCGCGAACCGGAUUAGAUACCCGGGUAGUCCUGGCCGUAAACGAUGUGGACUUGGUGUUGGGAUGGCUUCGAGCUGCCCCAGUGCCGAAGGGAAGCUGUUAAGUCCACCGCCUGGGAAGUACGGUCGCAAGACUGAAACUUAAAUGAAUUGGCGGGG
Molecule: ribosomal RNA, 402 nt
Filed under: uncultured bacterium
Lineage: Bacteria
Description: partial 16S ribosomal RNA
Rfam family: Archaeal small subunit ribosomal RNA
Source: RNAcentral